GGGCCUUUAGCUCAGUUGGUUAGAGCUGCAGACUCAUAAUCUGUAGGUCCGGGGUUCAAGUCCCUGAAGGCCCA
Molecule: transfer RNA, 74 nt
Filed under: Treponema sp.
Lineage: Bacteria; Pseudomonadati; Spirochaetota; Spirochaetia; Treponematales; Treponemataceae
Description: tRNA-Ile
Rfam family: tRNA
About the family: Transfer RNA (tRNA) molecules are approximately 80 nucleotides in length. Their secondary structure includes four short double-helical elements and three loops (D, anti-codon, and T loops).
Source: RNAcentral